CGUCUAUAUACGUAUAGCAUAUCAAUAAGCGGAGGAAAAGAAACUAACAAGGAUUCCCCUAGUAACGGCGAGUGAAGCGGGAAGAGCUCAAAUUUGAAAUCUUCAAGGGUUUCCCUUGACGAAUUGUAGUUUAAAGAAGUGUUUUCUGUUAGAGAGGUGGUAAAAGUUCUUUGGAAUAGGACAUCAUAGAGGGUGAGAAUCCCGUAUUUGAUCACUUUCUACUAACGUUGUGAUACACUUUCAAAGAGUCGGAUUGUUUGGGAAUGCAGUCCAAAAUGGGUGGUAAAUUUCAUCUAAAGCUAAAUAUUGGCGAGAGACCGAUAGCGAACAAGUACCGUGAGGGAAAGAUGAAAAGAACUUUGAAAAGAGAGUUAAACAGUACGUGAAAUUGCCAAAAGGGAAGCGUUUGACACCAGUGUUGUUUUUCCGAAAAUCAAUUAAGAAUGGCUGGAUUUUAAGUUUCAUGACCUUAAAAGCUUGUUUCUUAUUUUUCUUGUCUUUCUUAAUGCACUUUUCGGUUAACAAGUCAACAUCAAUUUCUUUUGUUGUAAAAGGUUAAGAGGAAGGUGGCUUUACUUUCGGGUAAAGUGUUUAUAGCCUUUUAACUCUGCAAUCGGAGAGAUUGAGGUCUGCAGCGUAGAUCCUUCGGGGCUAGAUACGUUUGUGCUAAGUUAUAGCCUUUCAUAGACAACUUGUUGACUAUGUUUAGUCUUGUAGCUUACUCGCUUAUGCUAUUUUACCUACGCUUAGGAUGU
This 755-nucleotide ribosomal RNA is filed under the name uncultured Neocallimastigales. Its description in RNAcentral is "partial large subunit ribosomal RNA". It matches the Rfam family "Eukaryotic large subunit ribosomal RNA", at positions 26 to 626 of the family's 3401-position model. Lineage: Eukaryota; Fungi; Neocallimastigomycota; Neocallimastigomycetes; Neocallimastigales. The record is from RNAcentral.